Lathyrus oleraceus (garden pea) is the source of this 1400-nucleotide long non-coding RNA. RefSeq lists it as uncharacterized. The transcript has 2 exons. Lineage: Eukaryota; Viridiplantae; Streptophyta; Magnoliopsida; Fabales; Fabaceae. The record is from RefSeq and is a predicted model, not a curated record.
AGUGAAGCACGCAUGGCAAAUGGAUCAGCAACGGUUAAAUAAGCACACUUUAAUGCACGUGGAAGAAAAAUUCAAAAGGCUUAGAAUAAUGAAAACUCAAAAAGUGUCUCCUCUCUCUCACCUCAGUUCCUAUCUGCGUCGCGCCAGAGGCUCCCUCGGUGGCGGAGAUUUCCAGAAAUCCAAUUUUAACCGUUAACCUCAUCCUCUCAGCCUCCACAUUCUGAAUCCACACUACAUGUAACCCAAUUUCUAAGCAAUAAUCCAAAUCAAAAUGAAAACUUCACGAACCCUAAACUGAAAAUAAAAAAUUAAACCCUAGAAAGGAAGAAUCAGAGCCCAAUCUGUUAGGGCUUUGAUUCCCCAAGUAUAGAACUACAUGUUGGUGACCAAAUUCAAGCGAAAUCAGGCAAAAAAUCGAUGACCUACCUUGAAGAGCGGUGAAGCAAAUUCGAAACCCAACGAAGAAGAUGAAGAUUAUUCAGCAUGAAUGGAUUAUGAGCACUGCAGUAUUACAUGAUGAAGUGGUGAUGCCAAGGCUACAACAUGAGAUUCUUUUUACUUGGACUGGAUGCAAUGUGGUGUGUGCCCCUAUUACGUAUGCCAUGAAUUGAUUUUUGUGCUAGGGCUGCUAUUUAGUGAGUGGUUGAAUGAAUUGCUUGCAUUGCUGGAUGAAUGUUAACUUGUUGAUGUGAAUAGGCCGUCAUGAUAAACGCUUGCUUUGACCGAAUUUGUUUUCAAUUGAUGUGCUUAACAUUCUUGUUGGUUGCCUCCUCUUGUUGUGAAGUUGUUAUGCCUGACAUGAUGAUUAUUUUCAUUACAUGGUUUGUUUGAAUGUUAUGCAUGUUGUAGAAUGUUUGCUACAUGAGUUGUUACAUGAUAUGGUGAUGGAUGGUUUUGUUUAGAUGAGAUGAAUUGCUAAUGCAUUGUAUGGUUUGACAUGCUUGAUAAUGGGUUAUAGCCUUGCCUUGGUUGCUUGAAUGUUGUAUGCAAUUUGGAUGUGGUAAUGCAUUGCUUUAUCAAUGGUUAAAUGCUUAGGUUUGGACUCUGUUAUGAGUUUCAUUGAAUUGAACAUGGUCAAAAUGGUUGGUUUGGCUUUUUGGAGGAUGUGUAAACAUGAAAUGGUGGAAAUCAAAACAUGACUUACAUUUGAAGAAAGAUGGUGAAGUUUUGGAUCAUGGCAACAUUAAGUGGAAUACUCAAGUGAAACAUGGACAUUAGGUUUUAGGAGAUGGUCUAAGUGGGUUAAUUGACCAAAAUGUCAAGAGUGGACCAAAAUUCAACUUAGGUAGAAAAAUGUACUUUUUGUGUAAUUCCUUUUGGACAAUUAUGAUGUAAUUGUAAUGAUAUGUAAUGAUAUGUAAUGAUACUUUAUGAUGAAAUGAAUGGUACUAACAUGUUUU